This 497-nucleotide ribosomal RNA is filed under the name uncultured bacterium. Its description in RNAcentral is "partial 16S ribosomal RNA". It matches the Rfam family "Bacterial small subunit ribosomal RNA", at positions 28 to 507 of the family's 1533-position model. The record is from RNAcentral.
GAUGAACGCUGGCGGCGUGCCUAAUACAUGCAAGUCGAGCGAACGGACGAGAAGCUUGCUUUUCUGAUGUUAGCGGCGGACGGGUGAGUAACACGUGGAUAACCUACCUAUAAGACUGGGUUAACUUCGGGAAACCGGAGCUAAUACCGGAUAAUAUUUUGAACCGCAUGGUUCAAAAGUGAAAGACGGUCUUGCUGUCACUUAUAGAUGGAUCCGCGCUGCAUUAGCUAGUUGGUAAGGUAACGGCUUACCAAGGCAACGAUGCAUAGCCGACCUGAGAGGGUGAUCGGCCACACUGGAACUGAGACACGGUCCAGACUCCUACGGGAGGCAGCAGUAGGGAAUCUUCCGCAAUGGGCGAAAGCCUGACGGAGCAACGCCGCGUGAGUGAUGAAGGUCUUCGGAUCGUAAAACUCUGUUAUUAGGGAAGAACAUAUGUGUAAGUAACUGUGCACAUCUUGACGGUACCCAAUCAGAAAGCCACGGCUAACUACGUG